Molecule: ribosomal RNA, 119 nt
Filed under: Pteropus alecto (black flying fox)
Lineage: Eukaryota; Metazoa; Chordata; Mammalia; Chiroptera; Pteropodidae
Source: RNAcentral
AUCUACGGCCAUGCUACCCUGAACAAGCCCGAUCCCGUCUGAUCUCGGAAGCUAAGCAAGGUCAGGCCUGGUUAGUACAUGGAUGGGAGACCACCUAGGAAGACCAGGUGCUGUAGGCA